Cinara cedri is the source of this 629-nucleotide non-coding RNA. The record is from the annotation of a GenBank genome assembly. Lineage: Eukaryota; Metazoa; Arthropoda; Insecta; Hemiptera; Aphididae.
AAGGGGAAGGGGCGAGCAUUUUUCUCGAAACACCGUACUUCAAAGGCCAACAGUUUAUAUUUCCAUCGAGUAUUUUGACAAAAAAAAUUAUAUAUACACAUAUUUAACACAUCUAGGGAUCGAAUUAUUUACGUCAAUGGAUCGAACCGAAUCCUGCAACGCAAAAAGGUCGCGACGCGUAGGAUGUUUCGAACUGAACCACCGAUUAACAACGAGCUAUACAUAGGAGCGUUUUCAAAGCAAAAUAUGACACGUUCUACUACACCCACUACGGUUUUACUACUACGUCACCCCGGUCGCGACCCUUUUCAUUGUCUGUUUAUGCGCAUUAAUAUAACAAUAAAAAAAAAAAAAGAAAAGUAAUUUUUCGCCGUUGACACAAAAAAUGCGCGUCUGUACCGCUUUUCAAUAGGUAUGAUACGUGUGCAUAAUAAUAAUAUAGUCGUGUGUUAAUGAAAUUCCCAGUACAUUAUCGUUUUUCUACCCUUUACGCGGACAUAAAAAACAGAGGUGGGUACAAGGGAAUAAUAAUAAUUUCGCGCGAGCGCUCGCGCGAAAAUAAUGUUUACAAAACUUCGCAGUCGUGUCAUCUCGGCCGGGACGAUUGAGUUCGCGUCAGUGUUUUUUGU